This 669-nucleotide long non-coding RNA is filed under the name Pan troglodytes (chimpanzee). Its description in RNAcentral is "long non-coding RNA NONPTRT001690". The record is from RNAcentral. Lineage: Eukaryota; Metazoa; Chordata; Mammalia; Primates; Hominidae.
GGACAAGCUGGGGUGCUUGGUGAUGAGGUGCUUCUGCCUCCUGUGAAACUACUGUGUUCCAUUUCCCUCCUUCAGCACAGUUCCGGUCACAUGAUCGGCUCUCAGUGCAAAAUGAUGUACCAGUGCAUGAUAGGAACCACAUGAUUGCUGAGAUUAUGUCCAGUGCUAAGACUCUGUGAUUCUUUUGUUUUUAGACAAUUUGGCCAGGAAGUGACCGGCAAUGGAAAGAGGGAAAUAAUCAGCACAUCCGCAUGUGUGCCCAUCUCAGAGACACAAACUGUGAAUAACAACUCACUUGGCUUCAUAACCAAGACCUACUCUGAGGAAUUGCAUCUCUUCCUUGGAGACCUUGAUUGGCCUGCUAGGUUAAAGGCAUUUCACUAAAUUCUUGGAGGAGUCUGAGAGAACUUGGGGGCGCUUGAGGAACCCAAAGGUGUGAAGUAAAAGCUGGAAACCAAGAUUGCUGGGAAAGUUCAGAGAAAGUAGAGAUACUUCGUUUGAUGGAGAUCACAUGCAAGGGAGUCUACUCCAAGAUCAAAGGCAACCUAUAGCAAUUUAUGAGAAAUGAAGGAAGUGGGAGAGAUGCUAAGUUACUUUAAGGGAUGUUCUGAAAUCAUGAAUCUAGCUGGAAUAGCUGGUGUUGGCUGUGUCCAGAAGAGCUGGGACAAG